UUUUGGCUGACACAGUGAUGGUACUCAAACUUGGGAGCUACCUGGAUCUUCCUGUUCAAUACCCAACUGAAUCAGUGUUAUUGGUUCAGUGGGUCUUCAAUGGGAAAAUUUUUGCUGAAUACAGUAAAGACCAAAGUUACACUCUUCUGGAAUCCCGGUUCAGUGGAAGAUUAAAGGAGGACAAUGACAGAGUUGGAGUAACUGUACAAGAUCUUCAACCCCAAGACUCUGGGACAUUCUCAGUGUCCGCAGAAGACACUGAAACACAGCUUCCAACACAGACAUUUAAAGUUUAUAUUCAAAUUCCCAUAACAGCUGUGCAGAUUGAGAAGAAUCAGGCGUGGAGAUUGUCCACAAACAGCUGUGAUGUUGAUGUGAAGUGUGUAGCGCUCGGAGCUGAGAGUGUCUCCUACCUGUGGAGCGGCUAUAAGACUGGGAGUGGAGCUCAUCUGCAGUUCAGUCUUUCACCAGCAGAAGGAGCUGUGACACUGAACUGCACUGCAGCUAACAACGUCAGCUCCAGUUCUGCUACAGAGACACUGAGCUGUAGCAUCAAACAGGUAAAAUCACACUUUUCCUGUAACUACACAAACUUUACAAAAAUGUCUGUGCACUGCAUCAGGUGUGUGUGUGUGUGUGUGUGUGUGUGUGUGUGUGUGUGUGUGUGGGCUUUGUUUCACAUGCAGAAACUCAAAUGUCAGUGCUUAAACUGAUCAGUAGUCUAGUGGCGGCCUCUCCGUAUCUGCUGGUGACCAUCAUCCUGGGUGUAAAAUGUUACAGAGCUCGAGGUCAUCAUAACAGUCAGUAUGCCAUGAAAGUAAUUGAGGAAUGAGCACUUUGCUCUCCCUGUAAGAAAUAGGUUGAACACUGAACUACUCAGUGGCAAACAAAUCUGAUUCUGCUACAAAGUUUAUAGUUUUACAGUUUUCAUUUUUAUAAUAUUUUCAUUUACACUCAAAGCUCAGGGGGACAGAAUAUUUUUACUGUAUUUCUGUUUGCACUCUUCUUAGUUGGAUCAACGUUGGAGCUUUUCUCCAAGAUUAGAGAUCACAACACUGUUAUGUCUGCCGGGAAACUCGGAUUGCUCUUCUUCCACUUCAGUCUCUCUGGGUCCUCUUCCAGCCCCCUGUAUUUCACCAGAUUCUUCUAUUUCUUCAUCGUAUUUUGCCAUCAUUCAAUUACCAGAUCUAUCACCACUGCAGUAUUCUGCAUUUUAUUUUAACUCACACUGUCUACUUUGCUGAACUGUUAUCUGACUGUAACUGGAGGUCACACAUAUUCGUGUUUAUCUGUCCCUGUACACAAUCCCUGCCAUGUUCACUGCAUCUAAUAUUAUAAUGUGUUGUAAUACUGUAUACUAAAUGUAAUCUGGUUCAUGUAAUCUGAUCAAGUACUUGUGAACAAAGUCAGAGUAUCUGUACAUUUACAUAAACUGCUUUAUUACA
Molecule: long non-coding RNA, 1445 nt
Organism: Ictalurus punctatus (channel catfish)
Lineage: Eukaryota; Metazoa; Chordata; Actinopteri; Siluriformes; Ictaluridae
Exons: 3
Source: RefSeq, a predicted model, not a curated record